CCUACGGGGGGCAGCAGUGGGGAAUAUUGCACAAUGGGGGAAACCCUGAUGCAGCAACGCCGCGUGAGUGAAGAAGUAUUUCGGUAUGUAAAGCUCUAUCAGCAGGGAAGAAGAUGACGGUACCUGAAUAAGAAGCCCCGGCUAACUACGUGCCAGCAGCCGCGGUAAUACGUAGGGGGCAAGCGUUAUCCGGAUUUACUGGGUGUAAAGGGAGCGCAGACGGCAGUGCAAGUCUGGAGUGAAAGCCCGGGGCCCAACCCCGGAACUGCUCUGGAAACUGUGCGGCUAGAGUACUGGAGGGGCAGGCGGAAUUCCUAGUGUAGCGGUGAAAUGCGUAGAUAUUAGGAGGAACACCAGUGGCGAAGGCGGCCUGCUGGACAGUAACUGACGUUGAGGCUCGAAAGCGUGGGGAGCAAACAGGAUUAGAUACCCCGGUAGU
This 439-nucleotide ribosomal RNA is filed under the name uncultured bacterium. Its description in RNAcentral is "bacterial SSU rRNA". It matches the Rfam family "Bacterial small subunit ribosomal RNA", at positions 338 to 794 of the family's 1533-position model. The record is from RNAcentral.